RNAcentral lists this ribosomal RNA (449 nucleotides) under uncultured bacterium. Its description in RNAcentral is "partial 16S ribosomal RNA". It matches the Rfam family "Bacterial small subunit ribosomal RNA", at positions 29 to 523 of the family's 1533-position model. The record is from RNAcentral.
AACGAACGCUGGCGGCAGGCCUAACACAUGCAAGUCGAACGCCCUGGCAACAGGGAGUGGCAGACGGGUGAGUAACGCGUGGGAACGUGCCCUUCGGUUCGGAAUAACUCAGGGAAACUUGAGCUAAUACCGGAUACGUGCGAGAGCAGAAAGAUUUAUCGCCGAAGGAUCGGCCCGCGUCCGAUUAGCUAGUUGGUGAGGUAACGGAUCACCAAGGCGACGAUCGGUAGCUUGUCUGAGAGGAUGAUCUGCCACACUGGGACUGAGACACGGCCCAGACUCCUACGGGAGGCAGCAGUGGGGAAUAUUGGACAAUGGGCGCAAGCCUGAUCCAGCCAUGCCGCGUGAGUGAUGAAGGCCCUAGGGUUGUAAAGCUCUUUCGCCAGGGACGAUAAUGGCGGUACCUGGAUAAGAAGCCCCGGCUAACUUCGUGCCAGCAGCCGCAGUAA